Molecule: non-coding RNA, 72 nt
Organism: Salmo salar (Atlantic salmon)
Lineage: Eukaryota; Metazoa; Chordata; Actinopteri; Salmoniformes; Salmonidae
Source: Rfam
CUCCCUGUAGCUCAGUUGGUAGAGCAUGGUGUUUGCAACGCCAGGGUUGUGGGUUCAAUUCCCACGGGGGGC